This is a long non-coding RNA of Lolium perenne, 4642 nucleotides long. RefSeq lists it as uncharacterized. The record is from RefSeq and is a predicted model, not a curated record. Lineage: Eukaryota; Viridiplantae; Streptophyta; Magnoliopsida; Poales; Poaceae.
CGUCGCCGCUCGCCGUCCGCGACGCCCGCACGAUUUAGUAUUCUUCGGUCAUCUCUUCCUGUUCUUUCUUUCCUCUUUCGACGUGGGAUCUCCUUCCUCCUUUUCAGCUUGGAUUUUUCUAUGAUGGUUCGUGGAUUGGGUGUUGUGCUUCCACCACGGGCGGAGGCAUCAGCCACGCGUACGGACCCGGGCAACGGGCGGCCGCCACACCGGAGAACCACACAUGCAGGCCGAGGAUGACGCGUCGGCGGCCGAGGCGAGGCUCCGCGGCGGCCGAGGCCGGCAUGGUGCCGGCGACCAGCAACCGGGCGGCCGCCACACCGGAGAACCGCGGGCGGAGGCCAAGGACGAGCGCGCCGGCGGCCGAGGCGAGGGCUCCGCAGCGGCGCGGCAUGGCACCGUGUCGUGUCGGCGACCAGCAGCCGGGCGGCCACCACACCGGAGAACUGCGCGUGGAGGACAGGGACGGCGCGCCGGCGGCCGAGGCGAGGGCUCCGCGGCGGAGGAGGCCGGCAUGGCGCCGUGUCGUGUCGGCGACCAGCAGCCGGGCGGCCGCCGCACCGGAGAACCGCGCGUGGAGGCCGAGGACGGCGUGAUCUGUUAAGUGGCUACUCGAUGGCCAGCGGUGCCACCGCCUCCUCUUGAUCUGAGAUCAUGGCCUAGAAGCCGCCAGACGACGACGAUGUGGUGGGCAACAUGAACCGCCGGGGACCGUGAUGGCUUGCUGCCGCACGAGGUUGGGAGGGAGAUGGGUUCACGGCACCGCUGUUGGUAUGGAGGUUCCUCUGCCUCCGACGAAGGGACGGCAAGUUAAAAAAAGAUGACGGGGAGAUCGGCCACACAGUUUCGAGUGGAGAGGCGGUGCCCUUUUCCCCUCAGGCAGAAGCGGAUGCGGCGAGGACUGAGAUGCCCCUUUCAAUGGCGGGUCCAGCAGCGGCCAGUGCCAAGGGCGGUAGCAAGCGUAGGACUCCACCGAAUACCUCGCGGGGAUCUAGAUCUUUGUCGAUGUUUUCUCGACUCCACGACUAAUGGCACGGGCGUCAUCUAGCCGCCGGCGCGUCCUCGACUCUACCAGCUUCGGGCGGCAGAAGGAGGGGAGGCACGCCACGGCCGAGCAGCUGCAGCUGCCGACCAUGGCUAGGACGGAGAGCAGGUGUCCACGGCUGAGCCUUCUGCUCCUUCCCCCAUUCGUUUCUACCGUCAGUUUCUAUUUCCUAAGUUUGGACAUGGAUUUAGUGAGGAAAAGAAUCACGGAAAUACAGGUGGAUUGAAGAAGUCAGGCGACCAUGAAAGGAAAGAUUGUUUGGACGCACACUCCUAUUUGGUGAAAUGCAGGUACUUGGAUUCUCUUUAUUUUCUUCUUUCCCGUAACCUUUUGUGCAAUCUAUUCAUCUUGGUAACUGUAUGAAGUUUGGAGAGAGGGAGCUAUCACGUAUUAGCUUGGAUAGUGGGCUUAUGCUAGGUAUUAUGUGAUAAGGCUGUCGAUUAACUUUUUGUGCAGCGACCAUGCUACUGUCAUGACUAUGGUCUCUACAUUGUACUUGCACAUUAUGGUUUUCUCUUUGUUUUUCCAGUUGGGUGGUAUUUUCUAUGUAAUUAUAUAUUGGUUCCAACAUGGUAAUUAUCACCGCGUGAUUAUUUUCUCUAUAAUAGAUCUUGCUCAACCUGGUAAUUGUUCCUGUAUGCUUAAGACAUUCAGAAAAGAAUAAACUAUAGGCUGCAGUCCUAAAAGAAACUAGACCCUUCAAGCCAUUUGUUCUUACAGGUGGAGCCAAAUACUUUGUUCAGUAAAAAACAUCUUCUAUCUAUGUUUCGAUUUUAAGCAUGCUCAAAAAUAAUAUGUUCUUGGCUUCGCAAAGGAAACUGCUUGCAUGGCUGUUAUCAUAUUACUGAGAGUGCAACCACAUGAUUUAUCGAGAGUGCGGAAUACACAGACCUUGCUGAAAGCUACCCUUCCGCCACCCGAACAACUACUAGACUGUGAGCGUUGAAGUUGGCAGGGCAGAGCGCUGAAUACCGUCGAAGUGGAGGAAGCACGUAGUAGGAGCUGGUAUCUUGGUUUGGCCUUUCUCAUUCUGUUUUAGUAUGCAUGAGUGCAGCUUAUAAAUAUGUAGAAAUAGAAAUAGUGAAAUUCUACAUAAAUGCCUCUGACGAAGGCCCCUCUUGAGUUUCAGAUUAUUUCUAUGAUGCUUAAAACUGUCAAUAUAAUGUGCAAAAGCAUCUUCAAAAAGAGAAGUUAAUGAAGAAACCAAUGAACUACAGUCAUGUUUCAAUUUCCAUUGGGUAUUGGGUGGGGGAGGAAGCAAGAUGGGAUAAUAAUAUUUUUGCAUGACAUACAUGUGGCAAGAAAUUUUAUAACAUGCAGUAAAAUAAUCAAAAUUAGGAAGAUGCACUUGAUAUCAUGCCCAUAGUCAAAUGUAAAAACUAAGAAUAAAAGAAAUGAGUAAAUUAAAAUUUUGCCUCCGGCUUGAACGUCCUGAUAUAGAUGCCAUAAAGGGCAUCAUUUUCACGAAUGCACUCAUCUGCAUUCUCAAUCAACUGAUUGAUAGCAAGAGUAGUAUUGUAAAGCUCAAGCGCAGUAUCAGAUACUUUUUAUUAGAGGAAAACAGAAUGUUAGCAUCAUAUAUGCAGCCUGUGGGUACUCCUCCUGAUUCUCUAUGUCACCAAUCCAGCACCAACAGUGGCACUCUUGGAAAUUUGAAAACACAAGAUAUUGCAAAUUAUGCCUACUGUCCCAAGUCGUAAAUCCUCUGUCCCAACUGAAUUUUAUUGCAACACAUGAAAGUAGAUUUGACUUCACAUGUUAUAAGCUUAUAAUUGUAUCUGUGUCGAUUGAUAUAAAUUUGUUCAUCUCAGUCUAAUGUACAUAAUAGAGCACAAAAUCUGAGUUGUAUCUUCAGAAUCUGGUGGACUGCCGCUGUAAAUGUGAUAUUUUGUACGUGUUUAUGACUUCUGCAUAGCUAUUUUAAGUAAUUGAGUGACUGCCCAAACAAGGUUGUUUCAUUGCAAGAGAAUUGUGCUAGAGCUAAUCUUGACGCGGCAUGUUUUGCAGAAUGGAAGAUGGGAGCUUGCUAUCUGAACAGAGUACUUUUACCUCUCACUAUUAAGUUAUUCCUUUUUUCCUAUUCUGCUUUGAAAUAAUUGAGACAAUAUUUCAUCGUUUAUUUGGUGUUUUAUUGACUGAAUCUUGAUCUUCUCUUCUUAACUGCAAACAUGAUUUUAAAAUCAUAUUGAUACAGUAAAACAGUUCGAGCAUAUUGUGCUUUAAAUCUGUGGUGAGAACUAACAGAGAUUACAUACUAAUUAUCGUUGACCUUUUCAACAUACCCUUUUGUACAUUGUACUUACUUACCAUGUUAUAAGCCAUAUUUGGGUGAUAAUUGCUGAAACAUCGUUUCCUUGUAGAUACGAGAAUGGAUAUCGAAGAGUGAGACAACUUGCUGAUAAAAUGAUCAAGUACAAUACCUUGAAACCUCCUGGAUUUUCUUUGGAUUGCCACGUUGUUCCCUUUCACAUAGGGAUUGAUAAUGAAACGUUAGACGGUGUUCUUGCACUGGUUUUUUCAUAGUGUAUCUUGGAUGUGGAAUUGGGAGAAUCGCCGUAUUUGCUUUUAGUUCCUAGCCCGCAUCUCUUCCUGUCGUUCCUACGCGCUGUGUGUUAUAGGCUUAGUGGUCACAAAUAUUUGCAGUUUAACAGUCAGUUUCACAACUUUCGUGAAUGUAUCAAAUAAAUUUCAAUGUUGGCAUUAACUUUCUGUUAAGAUGAAUUACCUACUGUACAUUACAAUGGGGGCUGCUGAUAUCAGCUAAUUGUAUUAUUACUUUUGAACCAUGCUUACUGUUCAUUGCAGGUUUUGCAAAGAAAAGGAAAAUAGGGAAUCAAAUAAUGGCUUAGCAUAUAUUUUGUGGAAGGUGAUCCGGGCUACAUAUCUUCAUCUUAUGAACAUGAAAUGUGUGGUAUGAACUUGGCGAAACAGAUUUAUGAUAAGUUUAUUGUUGCUUUUCUCUGUUAGGCCAAUUUCUGGUAAGCUACAUUACUCUUUUAUGGUAGCAAUCUGAUAUAUGUUUUCUCUGUAUGGAAAUAAAAGAUCGGCACUGGAAGAUCUGAUCUAGAGAGAUCUUCAGAGAGAAUACAAAUGAGAAGGAGAUAGAAUUUGCAUGAUCAGGAGAGAACAUCCUAUAGUAUACCUAUUCUGAAAUUCAAGAUAGCAUAUUAUUGGUUCUUUGUCUCGAUGUAUAUUUUUCUGCCCUCUUUCAAUGAUAGUGUUUCCCCACUCAUUUUGUGUUUGGUUCUCUAUCUCAAGGAUUUUUGGUUCUCUGUUUUGAUGCAACCUUCUUGCUUUUGUGCCACGUCCUGAUGUUGAUAAGCUGGAUAAUGUCCUAUCAGAUGCAUCGAGAGCCUCCAACAUUGUUGCAUUGUUGUACCGUGCUCUCUAAAUUACAUGAAGCUGAAAGAUCAAAUUGGUAGAAGUCAUUUCCGUAUUGGUACUACAUAAGCAUGGGCAUGGGUCAUUGAUGCUUGGAAGAAAACACACUCGGGCGCAUUUGUAUAUUUUAUUUAGUUGUUUUGUCAUCCUAUGUCCUACAAAGGAGCUCUGCUCAGUAUAGUUAUAUAUUUUUUCGGUCAUGGUAGUAAUAUUUAA